Solanum tuberosum (potato) is the source of this 722-nucleotide long non-coding RNA. RefSeq lists it as uncharacterized. The transcript is spliced from 3 exons. The record is from RefSeq and is a predicted model, not a curated record. Lineage: Eukaryota; Viridiplantae; Streptophyta; Magnoliopsida; Solanales; Solanaceae.
GUGCCAAACCACACAGCCCACUUUAAGAACAAAAAUGCUGCAUGUAUGCAUGCUGUAAACAUUGGUCAAUGCAGGAAGAGCUGUUAAAACACCAAGAACGAAGGAUGAAAAGAAGAAAUCAAAGCCAAGAGGUGAACAACAUCAAAGGUAAUUUGGUAGAUGAUCAAGUAAUGGUAUAAUUUGAUUUCUUCAUGAAUGGAUAGAUUCAACAUCCGUGCUAGCGUUACUGAUUAGCCUUGUACAUUCCAAAAGAAGAAAAGAGUCACUCUAACAGCAGGGCAAGAAAUCUUUUGAGGUUUUAUUUAUGGGAUCACAUGAUCCUGCACCAUUGUCUAUUUAAUCUUAAGAAGACGAGCAAGCUCAAUAAGGUUGAAGAAGGCUUCGGCCUUUUCCUAUGCGAUCCAUUCAUCUAUGAAUUUGUUAGGGAGGAAUGAUUCCAACCACCAUUCACGUACUAUUCCUCAUCAGUCGUCAUGAGGAAGAGCAAUUGAGAAUUCUCAUUCCAGAAAUACACUGACAAGAACUUAGAGUUUGUUUCUUCAAAAUGCAGAUUUCAGCUUCCCUUGUAUCAAUGAGUUUCAGUUUUAACUUUGUUAUCUAGGUGUGUUUGGUAUGAUGGAAAAAUGUACCUGUUUAGUUGGAGAGAGAACUUUUAACCAUUUACUAAGGAUUUUAAAUAAUAUUAGCAACUGGAUUCAUAAAAACAACAUAGCAAACCAAAU